RNAcentral lists this ribosomal RNA (305 nucleotides) under uncultured bacterium. RNAcentral's name for it is "bacterial SSU rRNA". It matches the Rfam family "Bacterial small subunit ribosomal RNA", at positions 338 to 658 of the family's 1533-position model. The record is from RNAcentral.
CCUACGGGGGGCAGCAGUGGGGGAUAUUGCACAAUGGGGGGAACCCUGAUGCAGCGACGCCGCGUGAGGGAAGACGGCCUUCGGGUUGUAAACCUCUGUCGCAGGGGACGAAGGAGAUGACGGUACCCUGUGAGGAAGCCACGGCUAACUACGUGCCAGCAGCCGCGGUAAUACGUAGGUGGCGAGCGUUGUCCGGAAUUACUGGGUGUAAAGGGAGCGUAGGCGGGAUAUUAAGUUGAAUGUAUAAACUACCGGCUUAACCGAUAGAAGCGUUCAAAACUGAUAUUCUUGAGUGAAGUAGAGGG